Melitaea cinxia (Glanville fritillary) is the source of this 130-nucleotide long non-coding RNA. RefSeq lists it as uncharacterized. Lineage: Eukaryota; Metazoa; Arthropoda; Insecta; Lepidoptera; Nymphalidae. The transcript has 3 exons. The record is from RefSeq and is a predicted model, not a curated record.
CCCAAGAAGCUCUGUUACUACUCUGGUCAGUACUCACUUUGGUUACCCACUUUGGUGGUUAGCUGUGUGGCUAUGGCAUUAAAGAAUAUAGCCACCCCACAGGCCGAAGACGGGCAGCAGCAUCUUCAGU